UACGGGGGGGGCAAGCGUUGUUCGGAAUUACUGGGCGUAAAGGGCGCGUAGGCGGCCUAUUAAGUCGGACGUGAAAUCCCUCGGCUCAACCGGGGAACUGCGUCCGAUACUGGCAGGCUUGAAUCCGGGAGAGGGAUGUGGAAUUCCAGGUGUAGCGGUGAAAUGCGUAGAUAUCUGGAGGAACACCGGUGGCGAAGGCGGCAUCCUGGACCGGUAUUGACGCUGAGGCGCGAAAGCUAGGGGAGCAAACGGG
RNAcentral lists this ribosomal RNA (253 nucleotides) under uncultured bacterium. RNAcentral's name for it is "partial 16S ribosomal RNA". It matches the Rfam family "Bacterial small subunit ribosomal RNA", at positions 524 to 776 of the family's 1533-position model. The record is from RNAcentral.